AAUUUUGGACAAUGGGCGCAAGCCUGAUCCAGCCAUGCCGCGUGAGUGAAGAAGGCCNNNGGGUUNUCAAGCUCUUUCGGACGNAACNAAAUCGCGCAGGCUAAUACCCUGCGCGGCUGACGGUACCGUCAUAAGAAACACCGGCUAACUACUUGCCAGCAGCCGCGGUUAUACGUAGGGGUCGAGCGUUAAUCGGCAUUACUGGGCGUAACGCGGGCCACGGAGGUUGAUUAAGACAGGCGUGAAAUCCCCGGGCUUAACCUGGGAACUGCGCUUGUGACUGGUCAGCUAGAGUACGGCAGAGGGGGGUGGAAUUCCACGUGUAGCAGUGAAAUGCGUAGAGAUGUGGAGGAACACCGAUGGCGAAGGCAGCCCCCUGGGCCGAUACUGACGCUCAUGCACGAAAGCGUGGGUAGCAAACAGG
This 424-nucleotide ribosomal RNA is filed under the name uncultured bacterium. Its description in RNAcentral is "partial 16S ribosomal RNA". It matches the Rfam family "Bacterial small subunit ribosomal RNA", at positions 360 to 776 of the family's 1533-position model. The record is from RNAcentral.